ACUCGUACCUUUUGCAUCAUGAUUUAGCUAGAAAACCUCAAGCAAAGAGCACUUUAGUUUGAUUCCCCGAAACUACGUGAGCUACUCCAAGACAGCCUAACAAUAGGGCAAACCCGUCUCUGUGGCAAAAGAGUGGGAAGAGCUUUGAGUAGAGGUGACAGACCUACCGAACCUAGUUAUAGCUGGUUGCCUGAGAAAUGAAUAGAAGUUCAGCCUCUCGGAUUCUUCCCUCACCCUUGUCUUCCUCCCCCCUGACAGCCAAAAGAAGCCGAAAGAGUUAGUCAAAGGGGGUACAGCCCCUUUGACACAAGAUACAACUUUUCCAGGAGGGUAAAGAUCACAUUCAAAUAUUAAGGUAAAAUGCUUUGGUGGGCCUAAAAGCAGCCACCCCCAUAGAAUGCGUUAAAGCUCAGACAUACCUAUCACCCCCGAUCCUGACAAUUUCAUCUUAACCCCCUAACCCUACCAGGCCGUCCCAUGCAAGCAUGGGAGCGACCAUGCUAAUAUGAGUAAUAAGAGAGCAUUAGCCUCUCUCCUUGCACAAGUGUAACUCGGAACGGACCCCCCACCGAACCUUAACGACCCCAAACAAAGAGGGCCCUGAAUAACAGACCCGCCAACUAGAAAAAUACUCAGCAAUCAAAUCGUUAGACCCACACUGGUGUGCCUUCAAGGAAAGACUAAAAGAAAAAGAAGGAACUCGGCAAACACAUAAAGCCUCGCCUGUUUACCAAAAACAUCGCCUCUUGCAAAAUUAACGAAUAAGAGGUCCUGCCUGCCCUGUGACCAUGAGUUCAACGGCCGCGGUAUUUUGACCGUGCAAAGGUAGCGCAAUCACUUGUCUUUUAAAUGAAGACCCGUAUGAAUGGCAAGACGAGGGCUUAGCUGUCUCCUUUUUCAAGUCAAUGAAAUUGAUCUUCCCGUGCAGAAGCGGGAAUUCUUCCAUAAGACGAGAAGACCCUAUGGAGCUUCAGACACCAAGACAGACCACGUCAAACCUCCCUGACAAAGGACUGAACUAAGUGGACUCUGUCCUAAUGUCUUUGGUUGGGGCGACCACGGGGAAUCACAAAACCCCCGCGUGGAAUGGGAGCACCUCUGCUCCUACAACUGAGAGCUUCCGCUCUAAUAAACAGAAUUUCUGACCAACAAGAUCCGGCAACGCCGAUCAACGAACCGAGUUACCCUAGGGAUAACAGCGCAAUCCUCUUUUAGAGCCCAUAUCGACAAGAGGGUUUACGACCUCGAUGUUGGAUCAGGACAUCCUAAUGGUGC
RNAcentral lists this ribosomal RNA (1275 nucleotides) under Argyrosomus japonicus (mulloway). RNAcentral's name for it is "partial 16S ribosomal RNA". It matches the Rfam family "Bacterial large subunit ribosomal RNA", at positions 597 to 2556 of the family's 2925-position model. Lineage: Eukaryota; Metazoa; Chordata; Actinopteri; Sciaenidae. The record is from RNAcentral.